Molecule: ribosomal RNA, 1371 nt
Filed under: Latilactobacillus sakei
Lineage: Bacteria; Bacillati; Bacillota; Bacilli; Lactobacillales; Lactobacillaceae
Description: bacterial SSU rRNA
Rfam family: Bacterial small subunit ribosomal RNA
Source: RNAcentral
CAUUUGAGUGAGUGGCGGACGGGUGAGUAACACGUGGGUAACCUGCCCUAAAGUGGGGGAUAACAUUUGGAAACAGAUGCUAAUACCGCAUAAAACCUAACACCGCAUGGUGUAGGGUUGAAAGAUGGUUUCGGCUAUCACUUUAGGAUGGACCCGCGGUGCAUUAGUUAGUUGGUGAGGUAAAGGCUCACCAAGACCGUGAUGCAUAGCCGACCUGAGAGGGUAAUCGGCCACACUGGGACUGAGACACGGCCCAGACUCCUACGGGAGGCAGCAGUAGGGAAUCUUCCACAAUGGACGAAAGUCUGAUGGAGCAACGCCGCGUGAGUGAAGAAGGUUUUCGGAUCGUAAAACUCUGUUGUUGGAGAAGAAUGUAUCUGAUAGUAACUGAUCAGGUAGUGACGGUAUCCAACCAGAAAGCCACGGCUAACUACGUGCCAGCAGCCGCGGUAAUACGUAGGUGGCAAGCGUUGUCCGGAUUUAUUGGGCGUAAAGCGAGCGCAGGCGGUUUCUUAAGUCUGAUGUGAAAGCCUUCGGCUCAACCGAAGAAGUGCAUCGGAAACUGGGAAACUUGAGUGCAGAAGAGGACAGUGGAACUCCAUGUGUAGCGGUGAAAUGCGUAGAUAUAUGGAAGAACACCAGUGGCGAAGGCGGCUGUCUGGUCUGUAACUGACGCUGAGGCUCGAAAGCAUGGGUAGCAAACAGGAUUAGAUACCCUGGUAGUCCAUGCCGUAAACGAUGAGUGCUAGGUGUUGGAGGGUUUCCGCCCUUCAGUGCCGCAGCUAACGCAUUAAGCACUCCGCCUGGGGAGUACGACCGCAAGGUUGAAACUCAAAGGAAUUGACGGGGGCCCGCACAAGCGGUGGAGCAUGUGGUUUAAUUCGAAGCAACGCGAAGAACCUUACCAGGUCUUGACAUCCUUUGACCACUCUAGAGAUAGAGCUUUCCCUUCGGGGACAAAGUGACAGGUGGUGCAUGGUUGUCGUCAGCUCGUGUCGUGAGAUGUUGGGUUAAGUCCCGCAACGAGCGCAACCCUUAUUACUAGUUGCCAGCAUUUAGUUGGGCACUCUAGUGAGACUGCCGGUGACAAACCGGAGGAAGGUGGGGACGACGUCAAAUCAUCAUGCCCCUUAUGACCUGGGCUACACACGUGCUACAAUGGAUGGUACAACGAGUUGCGAGACCGCGAGGUUUAGCUAAUCUCUUAAAACCAUUCUCAGUUCGGAUUGUAGGCUGCAACUCGCCUACAUGAAGCCGGAAUCGCUAGUAAUCGCGGAUCAGCAUGCCGCGGUGAAUACGUUCCCGGGCCUUGUACACACCGCCCGUCACACCAUGAGAGUUUGUAACACCCAAAGCCGGUGAGGUAACCCU